AGGGGUGUCAUCCAACGGCAAGGAUGCUGGUUUCCAACUCCAGUCACGGGGGUUCGAGUCCCUCCACCUCUG
Molecule: transfer RNA, 72 nt
Filed under: Myxococcales bacterium
Lineage: Bacteria; Pseudomonadati; Myxococcota; Myxococcia; Myxococcales
Description: tRNA-Trp
Rfam family: tRNA
About the family: Transfer RNA (tRNA) molecules are approximately 80 nucleotides in length. Their secondary structure includes four short double-helical elements and three loops (D, anti-codon, and T loops). Further hydrogen bonds mediate the characteristic L-shaped molecular structure. tRNAs have two regions of fundamental functional importance: the anti-codon, which is responsible for specific mRNA codon recognition, and the 3' end, to which the tRNAs corresponding amino acid is attached (by aminoacyl-tRNA synthetases). tRNAs cope with the degeneracy of the genetic code in two manners: having more than one tRNA (with a specific anti-codon) for a particular amino acid; and 'wobble' base-pairing, i.e. permitting non-standard base-pairing at the 3rd anti-codon position.
Source: RNAcentral